UGGGGAAUAUUGCACAAUGGGCGCAAGCCUGAUGCAGCCAUGCCGCGUGUAUGAAGAAGGCCUUCGGGUUGUAAAGUACUUUCAGCGGGGAGGAAGGGAGUAAAGUUAAUACCUUUGCUCAUUGACGUUACCCGCAGAAGAAGCACCGGCUAACUCCGUGCCAGCAGCCGCGGUAAUACGGAGGGUGCAAGCGUUAAUCGGAAUUACUGGGCGUAAAGCGCACGCAGGCGGUUUGUUAAGUCAGAAGUGAAAUCCCCGGGCUCAACCUGGGAACUGCAUCUGAUACUGGCAAGCUUGAGUCUCGUAGAGGGGGGUAGAAUUCCAGGUGUAGCGGUGACAUGCGUAGAGAUCUGGAGGAAUACCGGUGGCGAAGGCGGCCCCCUGGACGAAGACUGACGCUCAGGUGCGAAAGCGUGGGGAGCAAACAGG
This 429-nucleotide ribosomal RNA is filed under the name Chloroflexota bacterium. RNAcentral's name for it is "Chloroflexi bacterium partial 16S ribosomal RNA". It matches the Rfam family "Bacterial small subunit ribosomal RNA", at positions 355 to 776 of the family's 1533-position model. The record is from RNAcentral. Lineage: Bacteria; Bacillati; Chloroflexota.